AAAAAUCAUAAACCUUCAGAGACUAUUACCAUUUCAUGACUAUUUAAAUAGAAACAUGUUUCGCACAGGGGCUGUAACGAAAGCACACGUUUAAAUUACCAGCUUAAAGAAGCUUUUAAGUGCAGGAUCAGGGAUCUGUCUUUUCCGCUUUCUCAGUUAGGAGCUUUUUCUCGACAAGGUCGAUUUAUGGUAGAAAUGGAGAGAGGGGGGCGUCAAGUCAAGGUUUAAAAUAGGAAGAUUCAGCCUUAUUUGGUUGAAAAAGCGAGAGGUGCACCCCGGGGCGGAGGCCCCCGCCCCUUGCACUCCAGCCCCAAAGGGCAAAAGAAACGCCUGAGUUUAUGUUCCUCUAUUGCAAUUCGCUUGCAAAACAGGCAGAGUUGGUUCUAGGGAAUGCGAACCCUCGGAGGUUCAGCUGCAGACCCUGGGGGUAGGGGGCACACCGGGCUGCGAUUUUCCCGCAGACAGAUUAAGCAUCAAAUGUUGAGAACAUCCCAGGAACAAAUGAAGACGCCAGGAAAUAAAGAUGAACUGGGCGAGAAACACGCCUUGGGAAGCAACUGCGGGGUUGGAGAUGAUGCCAAACGGCUACAGUCGCUGGGCUGGGAUUUGCGAUCUCUUAAUUGCCUCGUGUAAAAUAAAAGUUGUACCCUGAAGAGGUUACUCGACAGCUCCGGGGGUUAAGUGACUUUCCUACGAUUGUAUGAAGCUGAGGCCAACUGAAAAUUCAUCUUGGUGUUUGGGCUAAGGUUUCUUGGGUUCGAAGUGAACAAGAAUACAGAACUUCUAUGGAGACACUCAGCCGCUUCUGGAAUUGAGCUGACAUGCAGACCCGAGUGCGCCUGAAAAUCUAGGUAUCUUGUCACUUGUGCAUCAAAAUAAAUCAUUGGGAACCAACUCUUUUCUGUGCUAAUCGGCUCCAGUUUUCCCAAGUUUCCCCUUUUUAAUUAAAGAAGGAAGAGUUCCUUUAUGAUUUGAUGAUACUAAUAUGGGGCUCACUGGCAGCACAGUGCCCAUCAGGCUG
Molecule: long non-coding RNA, 1021 nt
Filed under: Ictidomys tridecemlineatus (thirteen-lined ground squirrel)
Lineage: Eukaryota; Metazoa; Chordata; Mammalia; Rodentia; Sciuridae
Description: lncRNA (ENSSTOG00000033321.1)
Source: RNAcentral